ACGAACGCUGGCGGCGUGCUUAACACAUGCAAGUCGAACGGAGUGCCCAUGACAGAGGUUUCGGCCAAUUGAUUGGGUUACUUAGUGGCGGACUGGUGAGUAACGCGUGAGGAACCUGCCUUUCAGAGGGGGACAACAGUUGGAAACGACUGCUAAUACCGCAUGACGCAUGACUGGGGCAUCCCGGACAUGCCAAAGAUUUAUCGCUGAAAGAUGGCCUCGCGUCUGAUUAGAUAGUUGGCGGGUAACGGCCCACCAAGUCGACGAUCAGUAGCCGGACUGAGAGGUUGACCGGCCACAUUGGGACUGAGACACGGCCCAGACUCCUACGGGAGGCAGCAGUAGGGAAUUUUCGGCAAUGGGGGCAACCCUGACCGAGCAACGCCGCGUGAGUGAUGAAGGUCUUCGGAUUGUAAAGCUCUGUUGUAAGGGAAGAACGGCAUCUAGAGAAUAGGUGAGUGACGGUACCUUACCAGAAAGCUACGGCUAACUACGUG
RNAcentral lists this ribosomal RNA (497 nucleotides) under uncultured bacterium. Its description in RNAcentral is "bacterial SSU rRNA". It matches the Rfam family "Bacterial small subunit ribosomal RNA", at positions 29 to 507 of the family's 1533-position model. The record is from RNAcentral.